UACGGAGGGUGCAAACGUUGCUCGGAAUCAUUGGGCGUAAAGCGCACGUAGGCGGCCCAGCCAGUCGGGUGUGAAAGCCCUCGGCUUAACCGAGGAAGUGCAUCCGAAACUGGCAGGCUGGAGUACUAAAGAGGGUCGCGGAAUUCCCGGUGUAGAGGUGAAAUUCGUAGAUAUCGGGAGGAACACCGGUGGCGAAGGCGGCGACCUGGGUAGAUACUGACGCUGAGGUGCGAAAGCGUGGGGAGCAAACAGG
RNAcentral lists this ribosomal RNA (253 nucleotides) under uncultured bacterium. Its description in RNAcentral is "partial 16S ribosomal RNA". It matches the Rfam family "Bacterial small subunit ribosomal RNA", at positions 524 to 776 of the family's 1533-position model. The record is from RNAcentral.